GGAUCCAGACUUUGAUUAUGGCUCAGGAUGAACGCUAGCUACAGGCUUAACACAUGCAAGUCGAGGGCCAGCGGUAUCGAAAGCUUGCUUUCGGUAGCCGGCGACCGGCGCACGGGUGAGUAACGCGUAUCGAACCUGCCUCAUACUCGGGAAUAGCCUUGCGAAAGUAAGAUUAAUGCCCGGUGUUUUCAGAGUCCCGCAUGAGGCUUUGAACAAAGAUUUAUCGGUAUGAGAUGGCGAUGCGUCCCAUUAGCUUGUUGGCGGGGUAACGGCCCACCAAGGCAUCGAUGGGUAGGGGUUCUGAGAGGAAGGUCCCCCACAUUGGAACUGAGACACGGUCCAAACUCCUACGGGAGGCAGCAGUGAGGAAUAUUGGUCAAUGGGCGGAAGCCUGAACCAGCCAAGUAGCGUGCAGGAAGACGGCCCUCCGGGUUGUAAACUGCUUUUAGUUGGGAAUAAAACGGGGCUCGUGAGCCCCCUUGCAUGUACCAUCAGAAAAAGGACCGGCUAAUUCCGUGCCAGCAGCCGCGGUAAUACGGAAGGUUCGGGCGUUAUCCGGAUUUAUUGGGUUUAAAGGGAGCGCAGGCGGACCUUUAAGUCAGCUGUGAAAUACGGCGGCUCAACCGUCGAACUGCAGUUGAUACUGGAGGUCUUGAGUGCACACAGGGAUGCUGGAAUUCAUGGUGUAGCGGUGAAAUGCUCAGAUAUCAUGAAGAACUCCGAUCGCGAAGGCAGGCAUCCGGGGUGCAACUGACGCUGAGGCUCGAAAGUGCGGGUAUCAAACAGGAUUAGAUACCCUGGUAGUCCGCACAGUAAACGAUGAAUACUCGCGGUUUGCGAUACAUUGUAAGCCGCUAAGCGAAAGCGUUAAGUAUUCCACCUGGGGAGUACGCCGGCAACGGUGCAACUCAAAUGAAUUGACGG
This 924-nucleotide ribosomal RNA is filed under the name uncultured bacterium. Its description in RNAcentral is "bacterial SSU rRNA". It matches the Rfam family "Bacterial small subunit ribosomal RNA", at positions 1 to 916 of the family's 1533-position model. The record is from RNAcentral. RNAcentral also lists the same sequence under 1 other name.